GAUGAAGAACGCAGUGAAAUGCGAUAAGUAAUGCGAAUUGCAGAAUUCAGUGAGUCAUCGAAUCUUUGAACGCACAUUGCGCCCUGUGGUAUUCCGCAGGGCAUGCCUGUUCGAGCGUCAUUUCAACCCUCAAGCUCUGCUUGGUGUUGGGCCCUGCCCGCUCGCGGCCGGCCCUAAAGACAGUGGCGGUGCCGUCUGGCUCUAAGCGUAGUACAUCUCUCGCUCUGGUGCCCGGCGGUGUCCUGCCAGAACCCCCCAACUCUGUGGUUGACCUCGGAUCAGGUAGGGAUACCCGCUGACCUUAAGCAUAUCAAUAAGCGGAGGA
RNAcentral lists this unclassified non-coding RNA (325 nucleotides) under soil metagenome. RNAcentral's name for it is "partial contains 5.8S ribosomal RNA, internal transcribed spacer 2, and large subunit ribosomal RNA". The stretch from base 1 to 120 matches the Rfam family "5.8S ribosomal RNA", at positions 35 to 154 of the family's 154-position model. The record is from RNAcentral.